This 737-nucleotide ribosomal RNA is filed under the name uncultured bacterium. RNAcentral describes it as "bacterial SSU rRNA". It matches the Rfam family "Bacterial small subunit ribosomal RNA", at positions 9 to 753 of the family's 1533-position model. The record is from RNAcentral.
GAGUUUGAACCUGGCUCAGGAUAAACGCUGGCAGCGCACAUAAGACAUGCAAGUCGAACGGACUUAACUCAUUCUUUUAGAUUGAGAGCGGUUAGUGGCGGACUGGUGAGUAACACGUAAGCAACCUGCCUAUCAGAGGGGAAUAACAGUGAGAAAUCAUUGCUAAUACCGCAUAUGCUCACAGUAUCACAUGAUACAGUGAGGAAAGGAGCAAUCCGCUGAUAGAUGGGCUUGCGUCUGAUUAGUUAGUUGGUGGGGUAACGGCCUACCAAGACUACGAUCAGUAGCCGGACUGAGAGGUUGAACGGCCACAUUGGGACUGAGAUACGGCCCAGACUCCUACGGGAGGCAGCAGUCGGGAAUAUUGCGCAAUGGAGGAAACUCCGACGCAGUGACGCCGCGUAUAGGAAGAAGGUUUUCGGAUUGUAAACUAUUGUCAUUAGGGAAGAUAAAAGACUGUACCUAAGGAGGAAGCCCCGGCUAACUAUGUGCCAGCAGCCGCGGUAAUACAUAGGGGGCAAGCGUUAUCCGGAAUUAUUGGGUGUAAAGGGUGCGUAGACGGAAGAACAAGUUGGUUGUGAAAUCCCUCGGCUCAACUGAGGAACUGCAACCAAAACUAUUCUCCUUGAGUGUCGGAGAGGAAAGUGGAAUUCCUAGUGUAGCGGUGAAAUGCGUAGAUAUUAGGAGGAACACCAGUGGCGAAGGCGACUUUCUGGACGAUAACUGACGUUGAGGCA